GUGCUCACUUCGGCAGCACAUAUACUAAAAUUGAAACGAUACAGAGAAGAUUAGCAUGGCCCCUGCACAAGGAUGACAUGCAAAUUCAUGAAGCAUUCCAUAUUUUU
Molecule: small nuclear RNA, 107 nt
Filed under: Octodon degus (degu)
Lineage: Eukaryota; Metazoa; Chordata; Mammalia; Rodentia; Octodontidae
Source: RNAcentral